Molecule: non-coding RNA, 2785 nt
Organism: Aegilops tauschii subsp. strangulata
Lineage: Eukaryota; Viridiplantae; Streptophyta; Magnoliopsida; Poales; Poaceae
Source: RefSeq, a predicted model, not a curated record
AACCCUAGUGCUCCAGAUCCGCCACCCACCUCACGCGCUCCCUCUCCCCCAUCGCCGCCGCCACCCCGCCGAUCCCAUCCCUCCCGAUUCAGAUCCAUUCUCCCCGAUUCAGAUCCGACCCCGCCGCCCGCGCCCCACCAUUCGCUCCUCCUCGCCUCCUAGAGGACGGCUGCGCUCUUCCUCCGCCCGUCCCGGAGGCCUCGGUCGGCGCCCUCCGCCGCAGGGCCGUCGCGCUUGUCCCGCCCUCGGCGCCGCACCUCCUUUUCCUCAUGGCCUCACACCUCCCCGAUCCGUGUUCCUCGCACGCUCACCGCUUCGCCUCUGUCUCCCACCAUGCCGCACACCCCAUGCCGGAAAAGGGAAGGCGAGCCACCUCCGCCCUCCCCUCGCCCCCGCGCUGGUCCCACCGCCGAGUCCAGUUCCCCUCACUUCUCCGUCCAGGCGCCGUCGCCAUCAAUCGAUCUCCCGAGCAAGUGACCUCCCUCCCCGAUCUACUCGUUGGCUAUGGCGGACGAGCCGGAGGGGCGAGGGGAGGGGGAGCGUGGACGCCAACUGGCGCCCCACCCAAGACUCAGAUCCCGCCACCGCGGCCGCCGGAGGCGGGGUUGACCCGAACGCACCGGCGCCCCACCGCCGGAGGCGACUAGCGCUCCGGGCUCCAUCCCGACGCCCGCGCUAGGAUCGUCAGUAAGAUGUAAGCGGCGACCUCAAUCUUUGAUUUGAUCCUUCAUCCCCUUAAUUUAUUGGAGCACUCCUUCCAGAUACAGUCGCACUCCUCAUCCAGCUCCAUGUCUCCUGGUGCGGCGGCACAGUGGGAGGAUGUGAACGCGCGGCCGCCCAGGGGUGGUGGUGGUGGUGACCUGCCUGCUCAUCCCUCGUCCUCAUCACCGGCCUCUCCGAGGUCGCUGCUGGGGCAAUCUCCAUCGGCCCUUGAGGAUGGAGUAGGAGGAUGAGCAGCAGCAAAUGAGCCUGAUGGUGAAGAAGCACCUGAUGACCAGAACUCGUUCAAGAGCUCUUUUGUCCUUCCAAAACAGGGAUGCUGCGCUCGCUACUUACAUGUUUUCUGAUGCCGCAACAAAGGACUAUAUGUGGUUUCUUCAGUGGGACUGUUGCUGUCGCUCCUCAUGUUCAAUAACAUUUCAGCAUGGGACCUGCUAGUCACCCAAGCCAAGCCUCGCAUCGCUUCAAUAAAGCGAUACUUCUUCCAAUCAACCCCUACUUCGGCUCUGCUCUUUUUUCCAUCUUCUCUUAUUUAAGCUAAGAAAGAUUCUGAGUUUGCAUCCAUCUCAUUACACUAGCUAGCACAAUAUAUUAGUUGAGGCAACUCUACUACAUAUCAAUUUCCCCUACUGGAUUGGUUCUAUAUUUUUAAAGUUGUUUCGUGGUGCAUGAGCCCAACCUGAAGAAAUAUAGGCUUAUGAUGACUAUUUUCCUUCUUAAGUAAUCAUAGUUGUUGGCUUCGGUAGCUUGCUGAAUAUGCUUUAGUUAUAUAUAGAAAUGACAUGCCUUCUAUGCUUAAAUGAUUGUUUGGCUCUAUAUAAUUGUUGACAUGAAUAUCUUGACUUCCCAAACAAGUAUUGGGCUGUACCUAUGCAUACAGAUUAUCCUAACAGAACUAAAAAUAAAAAUUGAAGCAUGAAAUAAGCAAUAAGUGGCUGAUUUUUAUUUGCAUGUUAAGCGGAAAGUUGUAGCCAAGGCUUAUAUAUUACAAAAUAUUGUCACACCUAUGAGCUUCUACUGUUGUUAGGGACAUCGUAGUGUGAUCUUCAUGAUUUUUCGCUUGAAGAUGUACUGAUUCAUUAGUCAAGCAGAGACCGAAGUCAUCUUUUGCUACUGCUAGCUCUAUGGAUGUUUAUUUACGUGCAACUUCUGCCAGCUCUAACUUGGUUAUAUAGUAGUUCAAUUCAGUCAAUCUGUUGGAACUAGUUUGUCUAUUACUUGUAUCCAGAUUUUAUAUCCUGCCCUAUGCCAUUGUCGACUUGCUUAGGUACAUAAUUGUUAUCUCUUGCAAUCUGGUAUUGAUGAUUGUCAAUGUAUUCAUUUAUACCUUUCUAGUGUACCUUGUAUGUGACCCAACUGAUCUGUAUAUCAAUGCUCUGUUUCCAAUAGAUGUAUGCUGAUGCCUGAUGGCUUAUUCCUUAAAACUUCACUGUUGCAGUAGCAUUUUUCCUUAGUGCAUAGAUGUAUGAGCGAUCACUUAUGCUUGAAACCUUGCUCUCUUUCCCAGGAACCAUCGUGGUCUGCGUCACUACUGGGGCAGGAGAGGAAAGCCUGUUGGUGUCUCCAGGAAGCGAUAAACUGCUUCACAAAGAUCCGCGCAUAGCUUCACUACUACUGUGUUGGUCCAUUUCCAGAAUCGUAAGGAGUGUUCUUGUUUAGACGAUUACCUUGGAUGAUGCUUUUGCUUAAGGAGAGGCUCAAGAAGAUCAGGGAGCUCUGUAUCCGAGUUCCAGCCAUCCUCUACAGCAAGGAGCUCUCGGCCAAAGGAGCAAGCAGCGCUGCUAGUUCCUUGAGGCCAGAUCGAGUAAGAUGGCGCACCAUGGCGUGUGGUGGCGUAUUUUGCUUCCGAGAACAGUACUGUUUAUUUGAAGUGAGAUGUACUCGUCUAGUGCCUGGCAAAAAAAUGAAGGAUGAAGUGUCAUGUACUGUCUAUGUUGUAGUGAGCUAUAGUAGGAGUGAAAUGAAAAUGUAUCUGUUGUUGUAUGUGCUAUUUUGCUGUAAUGUAUUGUGUACAUUUUACUUGAACAUUAAAUUCUCCAAAAAAAUGUUCUUACUGGACCUGAUA